Molecule: ribosomal RNA, 274 nt
Filed under: uncultured bacterium
Lineage: Bacteria
Description: partial 16S ribosomal RNA
Rfam family: Bacterial small subunit ribosomal RNA
Source: RNAcentral
AUACGGGGGGUGCAAGCGUUAUUCGGAUUUAUUGGGCGUAAAGGGCGCGUAGGCGGCUUGGUAAGUCAGAUGUGAAAGCCCGGGGCUUAACCCCGGAAGUGCAUUUGAAACUAUCAGGCUUGAGUAUGGGAGAGGGAAGUGGAAUUCCUGGUGUAGAGGUGAAAUUCGUAGAUAUCAGGAGGAACACCGGUGGCGAAGGCGACUUCCUGGACCAAUCCUGACGCUGAGGCGCGAAGGCGUGGGGAGCAAACAGGAUUAGAAACCCCAGUAGUCC